Xiphias gladius (swordfish) is the source of this 185-nucleotide long non-coding RNA. RefSeq lists it as uncharacterized. The record is from RefSeq and is a predicted model, not a curated record. The transcript has 3 exons. NCBI's taxonomy places the organism in Eukaryota, Metazoa, Chordata, Actinopteri, Istiophoriformes, Xiphiidae.
CAGGACAACUUCAACAACACAGAAGCCAGAUGUCGGCAAAAAAAAACACCUGCCUGAUGGAUCCUGAGGUUUAGUCCACGGGGAUUUUUCAGUGCCACUGUGACAGAAACACAAGGAUCAUGCCGUAUCACCGCAGAGGAAGGAGCCUCUCUGACGCCCUCACCCUGGAACGAUCAGAAGAGGGG